CCGACUUCUUUUUCUCACAGGGCUUAUAUUCAUUGGCUCUACUCUUAAAAAAAUUAGAUGGAAUUUUGGCAUCUUUUUCGACUGUAAAUGGUGGAUGACCCCUUGUAAUAUGAUUUAACACAGCAGUGAUGACCUGUUUUCCUGUCCAAAGAGGCUCUGGUUUCCAUAUUGCUGGCAGAACGGUGUCAAUCUCACCUUCAGAUUGUGACCACAAAACUUUAUGCCCAGGUCUACCAUGGAAAGAACUUGGCACAGAAGUGGACACCCC
Molecule: unclassified non-coding RNA, 268 nt
Filed under: Hevea brasiliensis (rubber tree)
Lineage: Eukaryota; Viridiplantae; Streptophyta; Magnoliopsida; Malpighiales; Euphorbiaceae
Source: RNAcentral